UACGUAGGCAGCAAGCGUUGUUCGGAGUUACUGGGCGUAAAGGGUGUGUAGGCGGUUGGAUAAGUGUGGUGUGAAAUCUCCCGGCUUAACUGGGAGGGUGCGCUACAAACUGUCUGACUAGAGUGUGGGAUGGGUAAGUGGAAUUCCUGGUGUAGCGGUGAAAUGCGUAGAUAUCUGGAGGAACACCGGUGGCGAAGGCGGCAUUCUGGACCGACAUUGACGCUGAGGAGCGAAAGCCAGGGGAGCAAACGGG
Molecule: ribosomal RNA, 253 nt
Filed under: uncultured bacterium
Lineage: Bacteria
Description: partial 16S ribosomal RNA
Rfam family: Bacterial small subunit ribosomal RNA
Source: RNAcentral